Molecule: long non-coding RNA, 1226 nt
Filed under: Numida meleagris (helmeted guineafowl)
Lineage: Eukaryota; Metazoa; Chordata; Aves; Galliformes; Numididae
Description: lncRNA (ENSNMEG00000010935.1)
Source: RNAcentral
CCCAGUUUGCUAAGGCAAAAUACAGCGAUAAAAAAAAAAAAGGAAGAAAAAACACGUGGAGCAAAAGCACGCACCCCUGUGUGAAAACAGCCCCCCAGAAUCACAAAGCGACCAGAAAAUGUGUUCUUAAUCGUGAGAGGCUGAGGGCCUGCCAGCCACAGAGCUGUGAUGGGACGGAAGUGCUGGUGACAGCAGACACUGACACCUCUCAUAAAGGCUCCAAGUGCAAAACUCCAGGCUGCCAACACACCAGGAGGUCACAGAGGGGUUUUCUCCCCCAGCUGGGGGUUGCCCUGUGCCCUGACCCAUGUGCAGCCCCUGCUCUGCAGAUGGGAGCUGGGCCUCACCUGUGCCGUGAAGGCCACACCUCCCCGAUGGGGUAAACCAGCCUUCAUCAGUUAUCAGCUGUGUAAUGAGCUGUAAUGCAGUGCAGGUGUGCUGGUAGCUGGUGCUGCUGGGUGAGUGACUGGUUCCUGCCAGCACAAAGCCCAGGAGCUGCUCUGGGAGCAACACUGGAGUGUGUCUGCUGCAUCUCUGUGUGGUACAACAUGGAGCUGUGCUACCUGGGCAACUGUACUGCGGUGUGGACAUCAGUGUGCCACCCGCGUGAUGAAGAAGCGAGAAAAAACGAUCUCAAGAUCACAGUCUGUCAGAAAAAUGAACGCAUUUUAAACGGCGAAGGACGAACGCGGCGCUCGCUGGCGGGGCCCUCCCCUGCUGCCCUGCAGGAGGUGUGUAAGGCACUGAGACAAAGGCUGGGACGCCCAUCCGGACUCCAGGGACAACAGGGAGAUGGUGCCGAAGCUUGGGUGCACUUCCACCACGUAUUUCACAGCCAGGGAGGCGAAGCUGCACCCCCCAGCGCUGGCCCUGCUCAGGUAACAAGUAACGUGGGAAGCAAACCUUGUCGAGAUGGGAUGCAUGGGCAGCAGAGCAGCACACCGCUCCUUGGUUUGCAGCAAAAAAGAGAAAAAGACAAUGCUUGGGAAGAGCUGAGUGUCCCAGCAGCACAGUGGGGCUGGACUGGGCUGGAAAGCAAAGGGGAAAUGCUUCCCGUUACUGUCACAGCAUUGAUGUUUGCAGCCCGUAGAACUAAGCCACGCUGGGUUGGUAAAGAUUGUCUGGGGAGAGCUGGAGGAGGGAGGACUGGGACCAUCGCUCUCUUUAACUGGGCUUGUUGCUUACCUAUGGCUAAAGCCCAUGGCCAUGUCUUCAGCUAUUUCUGA